This 742-nucleotide ribosomal RNA is filed under the name Paralamyctes wellingtonensis. Its description in RNAcentral is "partial 28S ribosomal RNA". It matches the Rfam family "Eukaryotic large subunit ribosomal RNA", at positions 666 to 1240 of the family's 3401-position model. Lineage: Eukaryota; Metazoa; Arthropoda; Chilopoda; Lithobiomorpha; Henicopidae. The record is from RNAcentral.
CCAAGGAGUCUAACAUGUGCGCGAGUCAAUGGGGAUCUCUCGAGACCCACGGGCGCAAUGAAAGUGAAGGUGGCGGCUUGUCCUCACCGAGGCGGGAUCCGUCCGGACGGUGGGCGGGGGCGUCGCGUUUCGGCGAGGCGUCCUUUAGCUCCCGGGGGGUUGUUUACUCUGACCCCCUUCUUAACCAAAGAAUCCGGCGGCGCACCGCCGGCCCGUCGCAAACGCAACGCCGUUGCGGCGGAGCAAGAGCGUACACGUUGGGACCCGAAAGAUGGUGAUCUAUGCCCGGGCAGGACGAAGCCAGAGGAAACUCUGGUGGAGGUCCGUAGCGAUUCUGACGUGCAAAUCGAUCGUCGGACCUGGGUAUAGGGGCGAAAGACUAAUCGAACCGUCUANNNNNNNNNNNNNNNNNNNNNNNNNNNNNUCCGAAGUUUCCCUCAGGAUAGCUGGCGCUCGGAACGGAACGCAGUCUCAUCCGGUAAAGCGAAUGAUUAGAGGCCUUGGGGCCGAAACGACCUCAACCUAUUCUCAAACUUUAAAUGGGUGAGAAGUCCGGCUUGCUCGACUACUGAAGCCCGGACGUUUUGUCUCUCUCGCGGGAGACAAAUACACGGAUGCGAGUGCCAAGUGGGCCACUUUUGGUAAGCAGAACUGGCGCUGUGGGAUGAACCAAACGCCGGGUUAAGGCGCCGAAUGCGGACGCUCAUCAGACCCCAUGAAAGGUGUUGGUUGCUAUAGACAG